ACGAACGCUGGCGGCGUGCUUAACGCAUGCAAGUCGAACGGAAAGGCCCUGCUUUUGUGGGGUGCUCGAGUGGCGAACGGGUGAGUAACACGUGAGUAACCUGCCCUUGACUUUGGGAUAACUUCAGGAAACUGGGGCUAAUACCGGAUAGGAGCUCCUGCUGCAUGGUGGGGGUUGGAAAGUUUCGGCGGUUGGGGAUGGACUCGCGGCUUAUCAGCUUGUUGGUGGGGUAGUGGCUUACCAAGGCUUUGACGGGUAGCCGGCCUGAGAGGGUGACCGGCCACAUUGGGACUGAGAUACGGCCCAGACUCCUACGGGAGGCAGCAGUGGGGAAUAUUGCACAAUGGGCGGAAGCCUGAUGCAGCAACGCCGCGUGCGGGAUGACGGCCCUCGGGUUGUAAACCGCUUUCGCCUGUGACGAAGCGUGAGUGACGGUAAUGGGUAAAGAAGCACCGGCUAACUACGUG
This 467-nucleotide ribosomal RNA is filed under the name uncultured bacterium. RNAcentral describes it as "partial 16S ribosomal RNA". It matches the Rfam family "Bacterial small subunit ribosomal RNA", at positions 29 to 507 of the family's 1533-position model. The record is from RNAcentral.